Homo sapiens (human) is the source of this 660-nucleotide long non-coding RNA. RefSeq annotates it as long independently transcribed non-coding RNA 1288. The transcript is spliced from 4 exons. The record is from RefSeq and is marked validated. NCBI's taxonomy places the organism in Eukaryota, Metazoa, Chordata, Mammalia, Primates, Hominidae.
AUCCAAUAUGUCAUUAGCACACACCACUCAAUGCCCUGGCCUUGAGCAAGCCUCAGCAGAGCUGAAGAGAGAGAAAGAAUUUCUAGGAGGGAGGGCCACCUACCAACAGAGUGUGAAGGACUUUGCACCAAGACGCAAGGAUCCAAGAGACUGCCUGUGCUUUCUGGCAUUUGAAGGUUCGCAUUUUAAUGGCAAUCCUUGAAAACCUAAAAGCCUUAGAAACUAGAAGAAAUCAAUGUUUAAUGAUGGAACUUGAAACAUUAUGACAAAGGAGAAGGAGCUGAAAGGAAUUUUUAGACAUCACUGAGUGCAACCAAUUCAUCUUCUGCAUGAGCAAACAUAGAAGGAGAGAGAGAAAUGACAGGUGUCACACUACAGCCCCAGAUUUCCUAACACAAACUCCAGGAAAAGAAUCAUAUUGACUCACCUAGUAAUCUACCAAGCCCUGUCAGAGGCUAUGGACCUUCCUAUUCCACUUUUCAACGCCUGUCAAAGAUGACAAAGAUGACAAACAAGUGAUGAGGACACUGAGGCACAAUUAAAGAAUAACUUGUCAAAGAUCACAGUGUUAUUAGCAGUGAGAAAGAAUGCAGAUAAAAUCUUCCAACUCUGCAUCCCCCAUGUGCCCCACACCUUGCCCCGGGGUUACUGAAGACAGAG